AUGUAUCCACUUUGUUUUGGAAUUUUUGAUUCCGAAACAAAUGAGAACUGGAUCUGGUUCAUGCAAUUGCUUAGGCAAGCCAUAGGAUCGCCAAGGGGUUUAGCCAUAAGCACUGAUGCUGGGCAGGCGGUGAUGACAGGGGUAAAGGAAGUUUUCCCAGAGGUAGAACAUAGGGAAUGCAUGUUUCACUUGGUGUCAAACUUCAAGAAAAAGUAUCACGGAAAGGUAUUUGAUGACCAUCUUUGGGCUGCUGCUUACUCAUGGAACAAGUAUAUAUUUGAGAAAAAUUGGGUUGCAAUGGAGACAGCAAAGCCAGCGACAACUACAUAA
RNAcentral lists this ribosomal RNA (330 nucleotides) under Triticum aestivum (bread wheat). RNAcentral's name for it is "partial small subunit ribosomal RNA". The record is from RNAcentral. Lineage: Eukaryota; Viridiplantae; Streptophyta; Magnoliopsida; Poales; Poaceae.